AGUCGAACGGGUCCGGCUUCGGCCGGGCCAGUGGCGGAAGGGUGAGUAAGGCGACGGCAACCAACCCCGAGGUUGGGUAUAGCCGCGGGAAACUGCGGGUAAUCCCCAGCGACGUGACGACGCCGACAUCGGCGUUUCACCAAAGACGCGAGCCGCCUUGGGACGGGCCGUCGUGGUAUUAGGUAGUUGGCGGGGUAACGGCCCACCAAGCCGAUGAUGCCUACCGGGCGUGCGAGCGUGGCCCGGCACACUGGGACUGAGACACUGCCCAGACUCUUACGGGAGGCUGCAGUCGAGAAUCUUCGGCAAUGGGCGCAAGCCUGACCGAGCGACGCCGCGUGGAGGAUGAAGGCCUUCGGGUUGUAAACUCCUGUCGAGGGGGAGGAAGGGGCAACCUUGACCGAUCCCUGGAGGAAGCACGGGCUAAGUUCGUGCCAGCAGCCGCGGUAAGACGAACCGUGCGAACGUUAUUCGGAAUCACUGGGCUUAAAGCGCGUGUAGGCGGAUGGGUGCGUCGGAACCUGAAAGCCCCCGGCUCAACCGGGGAAGUGGGGCCGAAACGACCCGUCUGGAGGGACGUAGGGGGAUCUGGAACUUCCGGUGGAGCGGUGAAAUGCGUUGAGAUCGGAAGGAACGCCCGUGGCGAAAGCGAGAUCCUGG
Molecule: ribosomal RNA, 660 nt
Filed under: uncultured Singulisphaera sp.
Lineage: Bacteria; Pseudomonadati; Planctomycetota; Planctomycetia; Isosphaerales; Isosphaeraceae
Description: bacterial SSU rRNA
Rfam family: Bacterial small subunit ribosomal RNA
Source: RNAcentral